CGCAAGCCUGACGGAGCAAGACCGCGUGAGGGAGGAAGGCUCUUGGGUUGUAAACCUCUUUUAUCAGGGAAGAAGAUCUGACGGUACCUGAUGAAUCAGCAUCGGCUAACUCCGUGCCAGCAGCCGCGGUAAUACGGAGGAUGCAAGCGUUAUCCGGAUUUAUUGGGCGUAAAGCGUCCGCAGGUGGUUUUUCAAGUCUGCUGUUAAAGCGCGAGGCUUAACCUCGUACAGGCAGUGGAAACUGAGAGACUAGAGUGUGGUAGGGGUAGCGGGAAUUCCCAGUGUAGCGGUGAAAUGCGUAGAUAUUGGGAAGAACACCAGCGGCGAAAGCGCGCUACUGGGCCAUCACUGACACUCAUGGACGAAAGCUAGGGGAGCG
RNAcentral lists this ribosomal RNA (379 nucleotides) under Leptolyngbya sp. CCMEE 6056. Its description in RNAcentral is "bacterial SSU rRNA". It matches the Rfam family "Bacterial small subunit ribosomal RNA", at positions 376 to 770 of the family's 1533-position model. The record is from RNAcentral. Lineage: Bacteria; Bacillati; Cyanobacteriota; Cyanophyceae; Leptolyngbyales; Leptolyngbyaceae. RNAcentral also lists the same sequence under 1 other name.